This is a long non-coding RNA of Rhincodon typus (whale shark), 2658 nucleotides long. RefSeq lists it as uncharacterized. The record is from RefSeq and is a predicted model, not a curated record. The transcript has 3 exons. NCBI's taxonomy places the organism in Eukaryota, Metazoa, Chordata, Chondrichthyes, Orectolobiformes, Rhincodontidae.
GUAAGAGAGAGUUGGUUUAAGAACUGCAGGCCUCUAGUUGAAAUAAAAAUUGCAGGCUUGUAGUAGCAGGUUCCAGCCUUUAAGUGGCGUGCAUGCCAAAUAGUGAUUGCUGACAUCAUGCAGGAUCUUUUUUUCCCUAUCUUGGCACUGAUUAGAAAAAGAUGAUGGAACCAACUAGUGCCUUGACAGAGAUCAAGGGCUACCAACCCAUUCAUUAUCCAAGAAAACUACAAUUUGUCCCUUGACAAUCAGUACAAAAACUAAAAGGACCAUUUGAAACAUUCUUAAAAAAGCUGGAUUCACCAGGCACAUACUUUUCAUGGGACUGUUACCGUAACUCCUAAUCCUUUAUCAAAAUGCUCACCUUUUCACGGAGGGAUUCACAGUUGUGGCAUCAGAUUUGGAAAUGAUUGCUGAACAACCCCAAGAACAACACUGCAGGUGGCAGCACCAGCACUUCCCAACUUACUGUACUCGUCAGCAGAAUGGAAAUAGGUGUGAAGAUUGAAAGAGCAUUUCGUGGUGGCACAGUGUAUGGGGAAAACUUUGCUUAAUCUGUGGAGGGAGACGAGUUAGAAAACUUGUAUUGCCAUAGUUAUUACUUGAUGUAUUUUACAAAGAACUGAAACUGUUAAUCAAUGAAAAGGAUGAAAUCACUCUCCGUUUCAAGCUUUUACAAGCAUUGACUAGAUAUCUUAUGGACAAAAUGACAGCAAUAUAGAUUACAAGAAGCAUGCAAUAGAAUCUUAAAUUACUAAAUGUAGUAGAGGAUUACUUUUAGACCCAAUGUUACCACAGCCCUAGAUAAUUCACUUCAUGACCUCAUUCUUAUGAAUGUCCAGGAUUUCAAGUCAUUUAGAAGAAUCGAACAGGGCUAGUAAGUAUCGAAGUCAUUCAAAUAUUAGAUCAUCUGUUUGUCAUCUCCAGAAGUAACGAAUAUAUACAAUAGAGAGGAUCAAUUUAAUCAGUGAGAGUAAUUACUGCUGUAAAUACCUUCACAAAGGGAUUGGUAAAUACCUUUAAAAGUGCAAUGGGUAAUUUCAUUUAGAAUGCUAAAGAAAAAAUGAAUUGUACCUAAUUCCUUUUAUUAUUAUAACUUAUUCUUCUGUUCUUAUGCACCGAUAAUACAAGGAAAAAAUGAUGGCAGACACUGACAAUGAAAAGAUUUUACUGUAUUAAAUUAGAAAAGAUGAAAAUGAUACGAGCUGCAGACACAAAGAGAAAGUGGAUAGAGGCAGAAAGAUAAUCACUGAAUUCAUGUUAGGACAAGCCAGCAAAGCUAAGGUCACUCUUUUGUUUGGCAGCAAGAAAAGAAUAGGAUUCCAGAAGCUCUUGACGAAGGGACUAAAAGCAGUGUGAAUAAGUGAAGCAAGCAAAAGAGCUGAGAGUUACUAUCAUAAAGCCAGAUUUUGAAAGGUUCCGGUUUACGAUAAUAAGUGUGAUUUUUCAUGCAAGAAUUGUUUUGCAGUCUUGUCUUCAGUCCUACCAUUGCAAAUUCAUUUCUAUUAAUUGAUCAUCUAAUCUGACUGGUUUAAUAUCUUAUUGGUAUUAUGUCCUGGAGGCUAAGCAAUAUUAAUAUAUUCUAAGGUCUUUAAACAGAUCUAUGCCAAACUAUAAUUGGAAAUAUAACUGGAUUUUUUCUAAAUACGUGGCUAGUUAUGCUGCAGCACAUUUGGUAUGCAGCCUUCUUAUCCUUAGUGAUAAAUAAAAGAAAAUGCAUGUUCAUACUUUUCUCCCCAAGGAAAUUAGUGUCCAGCGUUCUGUAUUAAACUGUAGUGAUUUUGCUUCAUAAAGGUACCUGGUUUUCAAUGCUAGACCCAUUAUUCUUCUUGCAGACAAGAGAGUUUCCUUUUAAGCUAUAUUCCAGUCAAGCACUGCUCCAUUAACCUUCUAUUCUGGAGUUAGAUUAAUAGAGAUGGUACACUUCACACUUAGUUGAUCUUUUCAACUGGAAAGUCACUGCUGAUGCUAAUAAAAUACUGAGGUUCUGCUGAGUGCCCCUUCUUUCUCUUCAAGGAUGCCAGUCCUACCUCAGUGUGCAAUCCAUUAAAGCAUGACCUUCUCUUACAAAGAGCGACAUUGCGUUAGCUUUAAAGACCCUUGCAUUCCAGUUCAAUUGUUCUGUAAUUUUCACAUAUAUCUCUUGUUAAUAACCAAAAGCCCUUCAGGUUGGAGGAGAAAAGAAGGAAGUUCAGGGGGUUUACACAGGCUUACAGCUUCAAUCUCAAAUAAUUGUCCUUUAGCUUAGUUGUAACAACAUUUAGAAUUAUCAUGGAACGUUUCUCACCAAAACUGUGUAUGUAGGUAUAAAUACAUGAAUGUUGGUAAGUUGGGUAUAGAUCCACUAGUUGGUGUGAUAAUUUCUUAAGGUACCUUCGCGAAUUUGUGGAAGAUCCAGUCUUAAAAGGAAUAUAUUCAGUGUUCUAUGCUCAUGAAUUUGAGGAAAUGCCAAACAGAAUUUUGACUGAAAUUAUAUAGAUUUGUACAUUAUGUAGCCACCUAAUUUGCUGUGAAAUAACAACUACUUUUUGUGCAAAAAUAUAAUUUAUUUUUGUGAAUAAUACAUUUAGUUAUUUACAUUCAAUGCUACUGUUGAUGAGAUUUAGGUUAUUGAUUUCAAAAAAAACGUUUGAAUAAAAAUAAUGAAGGUAUCCCUGA